Long non-coding RNA from Brienomyrus brachyistius, 972 nucleotides. RefSeq lists it as uncharacterized. The transcript has 3 exons. Lineage: Eukaryota; Metazoa; Chordata; Actinopteri; Osteoglossiformes; Mormyridae. The record is from RefSeq and is a predicted model, not a curated record.
CUCCUCUCUCUUCCCCUGACUGGCUUUGCUGGGCUCUGAGGCGCUGAGCUGCUCUGAAGGGCAGCUGCUUGAGUGACUAAGAACAGGCUCUCACCCUUCAAAUACAGCCAAACGCUUCACUCUGAUCUGCUACGUGGAGGCAGCAGUUCCAUGGCUGACUCUGGUCAGACUGCAGGAGCAGGUAUCAUGGAAAAAGCAGACUUUACCUCUGUUUGAAGUCUCCGUAGAGGAUCCUAUUUGGGAAGCCCUUUCGGCAGAUCCUGAUGCCUUCCAGCACACCGUUACAGCGUAGCUGGUGCAUCACCAGAGGGUUCUCCAUGGCCCCAGGAGUCUUGGUCUCAUUGGGGAUGAUGCAGCGCACAAAGUGAGGGUGGGUUGACCUCAGGUUUGUCAUCAGCUUGUUCAGGUUCUCCUGAGAGUGAAAAGUUUCCAGUUGAACGUCAUUAUGUUUGACGUCUCUUUGUGUUCUUGUUUUAUGCCUUUAAACUGCCGCUACCAGCUGUUAUUACCUGAUCUUUUCAUUUUUGGAUGGUUCAGCCUAACUUUUGAUAUUUGUCCUGGUUUGAAGAGAUCGCAAACAUACCCUGUGGAGAGCAGAUACAGUCUGGAAAGAGGAUCCCUUCUUCUUCUUCUCUUUCUUGCCCUCCUUUGCAUCUUGCAACGCUGAACAAUUGGGAAUCAAGAAAACGUAAUUAUAUAUAAAAAAACAUCAGUUCAUACUAGUUUUUUUAACCAUCAUACAGAGCAGUUGUACACCCUGUGUCACCUUAAACUGUCGCAAGAUUUUAAUUAGCAAUUAAGCAUUUUCCUAUUUGACAUUACCUUGAUCUGCACUAGCAUAGUUAGCAAAAAGAGUAGCCAGCAACUUGAGCGAUGACUUCUGGUACAAUCCCACCACAGUCUCAUUCAGAGGGUCCUUGUUCUUCACCAGCCAGUUGACAAUGUUGUAAUCAACAGUGCCAGCAUAGUGAA